AUGCCCCUGGACUUCACCAAGCACUUCGUCGCGGUGCUGACAGAGUUCAAGCUCAGGAACAACACCGGCUGCUCCUGGAAGGUGACGGUCAAGAUGAUGAACGGCAGGGUGACCCUGGAUCAAGGUUGGACCACCUAGGCAGCCAUUCAUCAGAUCAAGAUUGGCUACAUGGUGACGUUCAAGCUCCUCACUCCCGACACCCUCAAGGUCAUCAUCUUCGACGACGAUGACAUUGAGGUCGUCAACAAGUGCGGGAAGCACGACGAAGCCUUCACCGCCAAGGAGUAG
Molecule: ribosomal RNA, 288 nt
Filed under: Triticum aestivum (bread wheat)
Lineage: Eukaryota; Viridiplantae; Streptophyta; Magnoliopsida; Poales; Poaceae
Description: partial small subunit ribosomal RNA
Source: RNAcentral